This 1014-nucleotide ribosomal RNA is filed under the name Amarygmus sp. 3 GJK-2014. RNAcentral's name for it is "SSU rRNA". It matches the Rfam family "Eukaryotic small subunit ribosomal RNA", at positions 32 to 1195 of the family's 1831-position model. Lineage: Eukaryota; Metazoa; Arthropoda; Insecta; Coleoptera; Tenebrionidae. The record is from RNAcentral.
UUGUCUCAAAGAUUAAGCCAUGCAUGUCUCAGUACAAGCCGAAUUAAGGUGAAACCGCGAAAGGCUCAUUAAAUCAGUUAUGGUUCCUUAGAUCGUACCCACAUUUACUUGGAUAACUGUGGUAAUUCUAGAGCUAAUACAUGCAAACAGAGCUCCAACCGGAAACGGAAGGAGCGCUUUUAUUAGAUCAAAACCGAUCGGUGGCGGUUUCCGUCAUCGUACAACUUGGUGACUCUGAAUAACUUUACGCUGAUCGCACGGUCUCGCACCGGCGACGCAUCUUUCAAAUGUCUGCCUUAUCAACUGUCGAUGGUAGGUUCUGCGCCUACCAUGGUUGUAACGGGUAACGGGGAAUCAGGGUUCGAUUCCGGAGAGGGAGCCUGAGAAACGGCUACCACAUCCAAGGAAGGCAGCAGGCGCGCAAAUUACCCACUCCCGGCACGGGGAGGUAGUGACGAAAAAUAACGAUACGGGACUCAUCCGAGGCCCCGUAAUCGGAAUGAGUACACUCUAAACCCUUUAACGAGGAUCAAUUGGAGGGGUGAGUGUCGAGGUGGGCCGGCACGUUUACUUUGAACAAAUUAGAGUGCUUAAGCAGGCUAAAACUUCCCCUGAAUACUGUGCGCAUGGAAUAAUGGAAUAGGACCUCUGUUCUAUUAUGUUGGUUGUCGGAACCCCGAGGUAAUGAUUAAUAGGAACCGAUGGGGGCAUUCGUAUGCGACGUUAGAGGUGAAAUUUUUGGAUCGUCGCAAGACGGACAGAAGCGAAAGCAUUUGCCAAAAACGCUUUCAUUGAUCAAGAACGAAAGUUAGAGGUUCGAAGGCGAUCAGAUACCGCCCUAGUUCUAACCAUAAACGAUGCCAGCUAGCGAUCCGCCGACGUUCUUCCGAUGACUCGGCCGGCACCUUCCGGGAAACCAAAGCUUUUGGGUUCCGGGGGAAGUAUGGUUGCAAAGCUGAAACUUAAAGGAAUUGACGGAAGGGCACCACCAGGAGUGGAGCCUGCGGCUUAAUU